Clupea harengus (Atlantic herring) is the source of this 1651-nucleotide long non-coding RNA. RefSeq lists it as uncharacterized. Lineage: Eukaryota; Metazoa; Chordata; Actinopteri; Clupeiformes; Clupeidae. The record is from RefSeq and is a predicted model, not a curated record. The transcript is spliced from 2 exons.
CACUCUUUAUCCUUCUCUCUCUCCUUUUUUUAAUUUUAUUGUGCCACUUUCUUUCUCCCUCCCUCCCUCUCUGUCUUUCUCCCUCCCUCCCUCUCUGUCUUUCUCCCUGUCUCAUAGCUCACAGAGUGGUUCUCGCAGCCGGAGGGGACUACUUCCGGGCCCUCUUCUGCGGAGGGUUACGUGAGUGCAUGCCAGGAUGUGGUGUGCCUCCGCGGUGUGUCCUCCAGCGUGCUGCGCCCCCUCUUGACCUUCCUCUACUCCGGCAGGCUGGAGCUGGGCUGGCCUUGCGUGUAGGAGCUGGCUGAGGCGAGCCCAACCGCAGCCUCUGGGUUGCCCGGCGGUUUUUGACUGGACCGGGUCUUUUCAGAACCGUGCAGUGGUGGCCACUAGCCCAGCUUCCCGAUCCACCCCGGUUCCGCCAAUGCGUGUGUGUUCUCCAGAACAAGCUCUACAUCAGCGGGGGCCGCAAGUACUACGGGGCACUGGACAUUCUCAAGUACUACGGGGCACUGGACAUUCUCAAGUCAGUCAUGAGGUUUGAUCCUGUGCAGUGCAGCUGGGAGCAGUUGCCAGAUAUGGCCGUUCCCAGAGAUUACUUUGCCGCUGUUUGUCUGGAUGGGAAGGUGUUUGCACUGGGUGGUAGCCAUGACGAAACACAGGACCUGGACACUGUGGAGUAUACUUCACACCUGAGGACAACACCUGGAGGUAGCUGAAUGUCAUUUGUAUCCUCUUUGUUUAUGUUUUCUUUCUUUCGAUGGCCUGAAUGAAUGAUGGUUGUUUACAAAAUCCCAUUUUUUGUUAAUUAAACCAUUUUCACAGCAUAUCAAUGGCAAGAGCCAGAUAAACAAAAAUAACAGAAUAACAAAGAAAACAAAGUAAUGAAUAAAAUAAUGAUAGGAUGAAACUAACACGAUGAUAAGAUAAGCAAGAAGAACAACACACACACACACACACACACACGCGAUAACCAAGUGCCAGCUGAGAUAUGAAAUGCCCUCAUGACACGGCGUGGGUGCACCGCUACGACCCCCGGGAAGGACGCUGGGAUAAGUUGGGGGCCAUGCCACGACCUUACACUGACCUUUGUGCCUGCAUGCUGCAGCUGCCACAGGGUGUACAUGGGUAGUAGAACUAAAAACAGUGUGUUUAUGUGUGUGUGUGUGUGUGUGUGUGUUUGUGUGUGAGUGUGUGUGGGUGGUCGACUGUCGUCGUGUUGUGCUACAUUUUCCUGCUCCUUCUGAUAGAAUAUGUUAUCGUCCUGCUACUGUGAUUGGAAAUAAAGUGCAAAAAGAUAAAGAUCUGUCCAGUAUCUGACUAGAUGAGAUCAUUGUGAAUUAUUCCAUGCAUUUGAUAUGUAUAACCUUUGAUUUGUUAUCCACAAAAUGUAAACAACGUUUCAGCUUUUCUAAAGAUUCACUCUCCCUCUACACUGCACCCAUCAUAAUGUAACGGUAGAAAAGUGCCGUUAGGUACUGUAGACUGUGGAAGUGUUUCAAUAAGGAUUUGGAUUGUCGUAGCUGUUGUACUCUUUCAUUAAUUCAAACAUAUGUAACGGUAGACAAGUGCCGUUAGCCACGCGAUAUAGUUUUGCCUACUGUUUUGGGGAGGUAACCUAGCAACGGGGGUCGGAGAGUGAAAAACUGAAGAG